Labrus mixtus (cuckoo wrasse) is the source of this 829-nucleotide long non-coding RNA. RefSeq lists it as uncharacterized. The record is from RefSeq and is a predicted model, not a curated record. The transcript has 2 exons. Lineage: Eukaryota; Metazoa; Chordata; Actinopteri; Labriformes; Labridae.
CUCACAGAAGCAGACAGCAGCAGCAGCAGCAGUGAGAGAGAGAGAGAGAGAGAGACAGACAUCAGCUGGAUGACUUCAGCUGCUCUUAGAUGAAGAUCUUUGUUUUAACGAGUACAGAGAAAAAUCCUUCUGAACUGAAAUCAUUAUCGACCGUCAAAUAUCGGCGGCUUCCUUAAGGCUGCGUUGUUUGUUGUUGGAAACAGCUUCAGCUCCAAGAAAGACAGACACCAACAGAUAACCCGAUCUUCUGUCUUCCUUUACCACGGGAGCCAUGGUAGCAGAAAUCCUUAAACUCUACUUCAUUGGAACAGCGCUGAGUGUCCUUGCAUUUCUUUAUGGAAUAACGGACUCCAUUGGCGGUCUGAUGUACGUCCAGGACAGUCACAACAUUACGACACUGGACCGCCACACACAGGGGCAGAUCUCCUCGGAUAACCAGCGGAGAGGACCCCCUCUGACCAAAAACAUCGGCUCAUGAGGGAAAGUCCAUCAUCAUGACGUGUGGAUGGACAUGCUUGACACUGUGGCGAUGGAUUAAAAUGCUGUGGACUCUUGAAAAUUACAGUACUAGUCAAUAAUCACUCAAGUUCGUCUAACCUGCUGGACGUGUUUGGCUCUUGGUGAAACCUCUGCCCCAUGUCUCUGUUUGUUCAGCUCUUACUAUUGGCAGUCUAACAGUGUUGCAGCUAAAUGUGUUCACGUAACUACAGAUGUGAUAAGAAAUGUAACAGCACUACUGAUUGCACUAGAAUGUUGAUGAUGUUUUUUCACCUUUUUCCAGGUUUAGUUUUGUAUGUGUUUACUCUUUAAUAAAGGAAUCCUGUUGGAA